UGCUUAUGCAGAUUCGGAUUCAGAAGAAACAGUUGACAGUGACCCACAUGAAAGUCAGUUGGCUGGUGAUGGGAUUGGGGAUGACGGUGGCAUGCGUUAGCUAAAGUUUGGUCUAUGUGUUAUCCAAUAAGAUAGGAAGGCGUGCGAGAGUUUAUGCGUUUUUCCUUUUUCUGUUUCAUGUUUUUUUUUCUUGGAAGACAUCUUUUUUCACUUCUUU
This 217-nucleotide long non-coding RNA is filed under the name Helianthus annuus (common sunflower). RNAcentral's name for it is "sRNA HanXRQr2_Chr15g0722191". The record is from RNAcentral. Lineage: Eukaryota; Viridiplantae; Streptophyta; Magnoliopsida; Asterales; Asteraceae.